RNAcentral lists this unclassified non-coding RNA (886 nucleotides) under Camponotus floridanus (Florida carpenter ant). RNAcentral's name for it is "uncharacterized LOC112638541, transcript variant X5". Lineage: Eukaryota; Metazoa; Arthropoda; Insecta; Hymenoptera; Formicidae. The record is from RNAcentral.
UUUUAGACAUGUUUUCAAUAAUUGAUAAACACGAAGUAUUCAAUUUUAAGGUGUUACUAUGGAGAUUCAACUUGGCGAUUGAUAGUCUGUUGAACAGAUGGGACUAUAUAGGUAAGAAUUGUCGAAUACCUCGCGAUGAAUUUUUAACGACAGUUCGCCUCGUUUUAAACUCUACAUUUUUUAUGUUCAACGGUGUUUGCUAUCAACAAACAUUCGGCACGCCCAUGGGCUCUCCUCUUUCGCCGAUUAUUGCUGAGAUCACGCUCCAAGAUUUGGAGUCAAGGGCCAUCGCGACUCUUCCUGUAGAUCUCCCAUUUUAUUUUAGAUAUGUUUACGACGUUGUGUUGGCGGCUCCCUCCUCAAUGCUUAGUACCAUUCUGGACACUUUCAACUCGUUCCACACAAGGUUGCAGUUUACUAUGGAGGAGAGUGCCGACAAUCGUUUGAAUUUCCUUGAUGUCACUAUCAUUUUGGAGGAUGGAUUGAUUCAUUUUAAUUGGUUUCAUAAACCGACUUUCUCGGGGAGAUACCUCCAUUUUGAGUCGCGACACCCCCUUUGCCAGAAGAUGGUCGGCUAUGUGCGUGCUGAGUAUUCGUCUCCGUUUCUGAUUCGUCUUCUCGAGUCCAAUGCAUCACUCUUUGCGCCUUGCACCGCUUAAAGGGCUACUUGCAUUUGGUUUCCUUCGAGUCGACUUGCCUUGACGAGUUCACGUUCACUCUUUAAGACUAUAAUCACUGAAGAAGGCUCGAACUGAGUCCGAAACGUUUGAGGUCAAUAAAGAAGAAAGAUCGUUUAAUGUAAUCGUUUCAUGGAUUAUUUUUACUUUAAAAACACGCCUUACAACUGCGUUGGCUCUUUAUGGCCUAUUAUUAUAUUUUAUUUUAA